CGGCCGCAAGGUUAUAACUCAUAGGUAUUGACGGUGGCCCGCACAAGCAUCGGAGCGUGUGGUUUAAUUCGAUGAUACGCGAAGAACCUUACCUGGGCUUGACAUGGUGGUAGUAGUGAAGCGUAAGCGGAACGACCCUUCGGGGAGCCAUCACAGGUGCUGCAUGGCUGUCGUCAGCUCGUGUCGUGAGAUGUUGGGUUAAGUCCCGCAACGAGCGCAACCCUCGUCGCUAGUUAUAUGUGUCUAGUGAGACUGCCGGUAUCAAACCGGAGGAAGGUGGGGAUGACGUCAAGUCAGCAUGGUCUUUAUGUCCAGGGCUACACACACGCUACAAUGGCCGGUACAAUGGGUUGCCAUACCGCGAGGUGGAGCUAAUCCUCAAAGCCGGUCUCAGUUCGGAUUGCAGUCUGCAACUCGACUGCAUGAAGGUGGAGUUGCUAGUAACCGCGCGUCAGCAAUAGUCCGGUGAUGCGUUCCCGGGCCUUGUACACACCGCCCGUCACAUCAUGGGAGUCGUCAACACCUGAAGUCGGUGACCAAACCGAAAGGUAG
Molecule: ribosomal RNA, 552 nt
Filed under: uncultured organism
Description: bacterial SSU rRNA
Rfam family: Bacterial small subunit ribosomal RNA
Source: RNAcentral